Molecule: ribosomal RNA, 328 nt
Filed under: uncultured eukaryote
Lineage: Eukaryota
Description: partial 18S ribosomal RNA
Rfam family: Eukaryotic small subunit ribosomal RNA
Source: RNAcentral
CCCUUAGAUGUCCGGGGCUGCACGCGCGCUACACUGAAGGAAUCAGCGUGCUAAAACCAUUGUCGAAAGGCAUUGGUAAACCCAUUAAAAUCCUACGUGAUUGGGAUCGGGAAUUGCAAUUAUUUCCCUUGAACGAGGAAUUCCCAGUAAGUGUGGGUCAUAAGCUCGCGUUGAUUACGUCCCUGCCCUUUGUACACACCGCCCGUCGCUGCCCGGGACUGAGCCGUUUCGAGAAAAGCGGGGACUGCUGCUGUCGGGGCUUUCGGGCCUUGGCUUCGGUGGAAACCGCUUUAAUCUCAGUGGCUUGAACCGGGCAAAAGUCGUAACA